Non-coding RNA from Sus scrofa (pig), 616 nucleotides. The record is from RefSeq and is a predicted model, not a curated record. NCBI's taxonomy places the organism in Eukaryota, Metazoa, Chordata, Mammalia, Artiodactyla, Suidae.
CACUGAGCCACGAUGGGAACUCCUCAUUUUGUCUAAUUUUUUGUAUUUAUGGUCUGUUCCUCAGGUUGGAGGAUCUCAGUUCCUCUUGCUUCUGGUGUCUGUGCCCUGGUGGGUGAGUUAGGUCCAGGAGUUUGUGCAGGCUUCCUGGUGGGAAGGACUGGCACCUGCCCUUUGUUGGUGGAGCUGGGCCAGGGCCCUCUGCUGGGCAGGGCCUUGUCAAGAGGAUGUGUUUAGAGGCAGCUAUGAGCUCAGGACCACUUUAGGCAGACUGUGUCCUGGUGGGUGAGGCUGUGUUCCCACCUGUUGGUUGUUUGUCCUGAGGCUUCCGGCAGUGGGGUCCACUCAUUGCUGGGUGGGGCCAGUUCUCUGCAUCAAAACGGUGAACUCGAGGAGAGCUCACGCCAAUGGCUAUUACCUCAAGCAUCUGCCAGCAGUGUCCUUGCCCUCACAGUCAGCCAUAGUUUCCCACCGCCUCAGGAGAUCCUCCAAGACCCACAGGUACCGGGCACCCUACUAGAAUCCAGCAAUAAAAAUUUUAUUUUAGUGACCCUGAUGUAAUUUGGAGCAAAAGAAUAGCACCUCUCAAGACAGCUGAGUAUUCAUCUUGUUCCUGAAC